UACGAAGGGGGCUAGCGUUGCUCGGAAUUACUGGGCGUAAAGGGAGCGUAGGUGGACAGUUUAGUCAGAGGUGAAAGCCCAGGGCUCAACCUUGGAAUUGCCUUUGAUACUGGCUGUCUUGAGUACGGAAGAGGUAUGUGGAACUCCGAGUGUAGAGGUGAAAUUCGUAGAUAUUCGGAAGAACACCAGUGGCGAAGGCGACAUACUGUCCGUACUGACACUGAGGCUCGAAAGCGUGGGGAAGCA
Molecule: ribosomal RNA, 246 nt
Filed under: uncultured bacterium
Lineage: Bacteria
Description: partial 16S ribosomal RNA
Rfam family: Bacterial small subunit ribosomal RNA
Source: RNAcentral